UGGCUCUUUAGUCCUGUAGUCCCAUGGGUCUAUAGUCCUGUAGUCCCAUGGCUUUGUAGUCCCGUGGCUAUGUAGUCCUGUGUCUCUGUAGAGUCCCUGGAGCAGAGAGAGGGUUAGGGCCUUGCUCAAGGGCCCAACUGUGGGAGCUUGGUGGCCACUGUUAAUUUGAACCCCCGACCUUCUGAUCAAUAACCCAGAGACUUAACCACCACCCUAGUUCAGUGGUUCUGUAGUUCUGUGGUUCAGUGGGGUCAGUGGUAACAUGACGAUUAAGGCUCUGGGUUACUGGUUGGAAGGUUGGGGGUUCAAGCCCCAGCACUGCCAAGCUGUCACUGUUGGGCCCUUGAGCAAGGCCCUUAACCCUCUUUGCUACAAAGGGGUGCUGUAUCAUGGCUGACCCUGCACUCUGACCCCAACCUCCUAACACGCUCAGGUAUGCGAAGAAAAAGAAUUUCACUGUGCUGUAAUGUAUGUGUGACCAAUAAAGACUCAUUAUCAUUAUGUUGUUCUCUGUUUGAAGUUGCCCUGUGGGUCUGUAGUUGGUGUGUAGUUUGUUAGAUAUAUGGUUAGUCUGUACUUGUUGGGUUUUUUAGUUCUGUAGUUAGUGUGUAAUUGUUUUGAUGUAUAGUUGUGGGUCUGGCAUGCAUUGGCAUAUAUUUCUUUAAGUAUUUGUAUUUGUGAAUCAGUAGUUGGUCUGUGGGUCAGCAGUUAGUGUUUAAUUGUGGGUCUUAUGGCAGUGCUGAUUGUGGAGGGGAUAAUACCCACUUUCUGUAUCAAGGAUGACACCUUACGGGCCACUGGCUUAUAUAGACAGUGUAGCUAGUUACAUGCUAGAUAGAUGUCAAGAUGAAACAGGACAGAGAGCAUGUAGAACCCAGUGUGUGUCUGGGUGUGAAGGAUGAUUCAGAAAGGAGACAGGUGAACUUUACUCAGAGAUUCAGGCUCCCUUUAUUGUUCUUUUUUCCCACAGUGUUCUUUUUCUUCAUCGCACAUACCCAUAAACUAAAACUUCAGUGCAGGAGCAUGGUAGGGAGCAGACUCCGCUCGGUCUCGGUCUCACUGUCGUCUAUGGUGUUUCUGCAAAAAUAAACAAAGCACAUCUACUGUAAGUAAACUGGCACCAGUGUGAAUCAUCAUGUAUUACCUGCCUGUUUAUACC
Molecule: long non-coding RNA, 1159 nt
Organism: Ictalurus punctatus (channel catfish)
Lineage: Eukaryota; Metazoa; Chordata; Actinopteri; Siluriformes; Ictaluridae
Source: Ensembl